CGGUGAUCAGAUUGCGGUGAUCGACUACCCGCAAAAGAUGAUGUGUUCUGAACACAGUACUGUAAAACGUUUACUGAUUCAAAUUUGAAUUUCAAAUUUAAAUGCAUGCUGUUGUAUCAUAUUUAGAUCCUUGUGUAGGGUUAAUUAGUAUUAAUUAAUGAGAUUAAUUAAUAAUUCCGCUGUAAAAUAGUAAUUUUGAAAAAGUUUUAAAAUUACCAUUUUGCCCCUGCACUAAAUUUUCGCUUC
RNAcentral lists this long non-coding RNA (246 nucleotides) under Elaeis guineensis (African oil palm). Its description in RNAcentral is "long non-coding RNA (EGUI_LNC047868)". Lineage: Eukaryota; Viridiplantae; Streptophyta; Magnoliopsida; Arecales; Arecaceae. The record is from RNAcentral.